This 429-nucleotide ribosomal RNA is filed under the name Pseudomonadota bacterium. RNAcentral's name for it is "Proteobacteria bacterium partial 16S ribosomal RNA". It matches the Rfam family "Bacterial small subunit ribosomal RNA", at positions 355 to 776 of the family's 1533-position model. Lineage: Bacteria; Pseudomonadati; Pseudomonadota. The record is from RNAcentral.
UGGGGAAUAUUGGACACUGUGCGAAAGCCUGAUCCAGCCAUGCCGCUUGUGUGAAUAAGGUCUUCGGCUUGUAAAGCACUUUAAGUUGGGAGGAAGGGCAGUAAGCGAAUACCUUGCUGUUUUGACGUUACCGACAGAAUAAGCACCGGCUAACUCUGUGCCAGCAGCCGCGGUAAUACAGAGGGUGCAAGCGUUAAUCGGAAUUACUGGGCGUAAAGCGCGCGUAGGUGGUUCGUUAAGUUGAAUGUGAAAGCCCCGGGCUCAACCUGGGAACUGCAUCCAAAACUGGCGAGCUAGAGUAGGGCAGAGGGUGGUGGAAUUUCCUGUGUAGCGGUGAAAUGCGUAGAUAUAGGAAGGAACACCAGUGGCGAAGGCGACCACCUGGGCUCAUACUGACACUGAGGUGCGAAAGCGUGGGGAGCAAACAGG